RNAcentral lists this ribosomal RNA (2027 nucleotides) under Roseiarcus fermentans. RNAcentral's name for it is "bacterial SSU rRNA". The stretch from base 544 to 2025 matches the Rfam family "Bacterial small subunit ribosomal RNA". Lineage: Bacteria; Pseudomonadati; Pseudomonadota; Alphaproteobacteria; Hyphomicrobiales; Roseiarcaceae. The record is from RNAcentral.
CCCUAUAUCGCUGCCACUGGACGACGACGGCGCUGCGGAGACGCGGUGGCGGGCGGGGUUCGGUUUCGGGAACUUCCUGAGCGGCUCCUCCCUGCUGAGAGGUGGGGGUGGAGGGCUUUUGGUCGUUUCUUCUUCGCGUCAGCGAAGGGUUUCGGGUUCGAUCGGGUUCCGGACGGCGGCGACGCCGGCGGGUUUCGAGAGGGUUCGCGGAUCGGUGAUACGGUCCAACGCUGUUUGACAAUUUCAUCGGAAGGAAGAGAGACGUGGGCGGCGCAAGUCCUUGCGUCCGGAGUUCUUCGGUUUUGCUCGUUUUCGACUUCGGUCGGGGGCGGGGAGAGCGGGGGGCGUCGGAGAAGAGACUUAACGACGGUCACGUUUCUACACACCAUCGCGCUUUUUGCCGGUGACGACCUUUGGAACGCCGCGAGGCGGGCUGUGGGUUCGAGGCAUGGGAGCGCGAGUGUAUGGAACUCGUCAAGAGUAGCGCGGGGCGUCGUGAGGCGUCCCGAGCCAGAGUGACCAGUCGGGAUUGAUCUUCAAGUUCAACUUGAGAGUUUGAUCCUGGCUCAGAACGAACGCUGGCGGCAGGCUUAACACAUGCAAGUCGAGCGCCCCGCAAGGGGAGCGGCAGACGGGUGAGUAACGCGUGGGAACAUACCCCUUGGUUCGGAAUAACUCAGGGAAACUUGAGCUAAUACCGGAUACGGCAGAGAUGCGAAAGAUUUAUCGCCGAGGGAUUGGCCCGCGUCCGAUUAGCUAGUUGGUGAGGUAACGGCUCACCAAGGCGACGAUCGGUAGCUGGUCUGAGAGGAUGAUCAGCCACAUUGGGACUGAGACACGGCCCAAACUCCUACGGGAGGCAGCAGUGGGGAAUAUUGGACAAUGGGCGCAAGCCUGAUCCAGCCAUGCCGCGUGAGUGAUGACGGCCUUAGGGUUGUAAAGCUCUUUCGCCAGGGACGAUAAUGACGGUACCUGGAUAAGAAGCCCCGGCUAACUUCGUGCCAGCAGCCGCGGUAAUACGAAGGGGGCUAGCGUUGUUCGGAAUUACUGGGCGUAAAGCGCGUGUAGGCGGGUCUUUAAGUCAGGGGUGAAAUGCCAAGGCUCAACCUUGGAACUGCCUUUGAUACUGGAGAUCUUGAGUCCGGGAGAGGUGAGUGGAACUGCGAGUGUAGAGGUGAAAUUCGUAGAUAUUCGCAAGAACACCAGUGGCGAAGGCGGCUCACUGGCCCGGAACUGACGCUGAGACGCGAAAGCGUGGGGAGCAAACAGGAUUAGAUACCCUGGUAGUCCACGCUGUAAACGAUGGAUGCUAGCCGUUGGGGAGCUUGCUCUUCAGUGGCGCAGCUAACGCUUUAAGCAUCCCGCCUGGGGAGUACGGUCGCAAGAUUAAAACUCAAAGGAAUUGACGGGGGCCCGCACAAGCGGUGGAGCAUGUGGUUUAAUUCGAAGCAACGCGCAGAACCUUACCAGCUUUUGACAUGUCCUGGACGGAUUGCAGAGAUGCGAUCUUCCCUUCGGGGCCGGGAACACAGGUGCUGCAUGGCUGUCGUCAGCUCGUGUCGUGAGAUGUUGGGUUAAGUCCCGCAACGAGCGCAACCCUCGCCCUUAGUUGCCAUCAUUCAGUUGGGCACUCCAGGGGGACUGCCGGUGAUAAGCCGGAGGAAGGUGGGGAUGACGUCAAGUCCUCAUGGCCCUUACAGGCUGGGCUACACACGUGCUACAAUGGCGGUGACAGAGGGAUGCGAAGGGGCGACCCCUGGCAAAUCUCAAAAAGCCGUCUCAGUUCGGAUUGCACUCUGCAACUCGAGUGCAUGAAGUUGGAAUCGCUAGUAAUCGCGGAUCAGCACGCCGCGGUGAAUACGUUCCCGGGCCUUGUACACACCGCCCGUCACACCAUGGGAGUUGGUUUUACCCGAAGACGGCGCGCUAACCGCAAGGAGGCAGCCGGCCACGGUAGGGUCAGCGACUGGGGUGAAGUCGUAACAAGGUAGCCGUAGGGGAACCUGCGGCUGGAUCACCUCCUUUCU